This 252-nucleotide ribosomal RNA is filed under the name uncultured bacterium. RNAcentral's name for it is "partial 16S ribosomal RNA". It matches the Rfam family "Bacterial small subunit ribosomal RNA", at positions 524 to 775 of the family's 1533-position model. The record is from RNAcentral.
GACAGAGGGUGCAAACGUUGUUCGGAAUUACUGGGCGUAAAGCGCGUGUAGGCGGCUUCGUAGGUCGGAUGUGAAAUCCCUCGGCUCAACCGAGGACGUGCAUUCGAAACCGCGCAGCUCGAGUCCCGGAGAGGGUGGUGGAAUUCUCGGCGUAGAGGUGAAAUUCGUAGAUAUCGGGAGGAACACCGGCGGCGAAAGCGGCCACCUGGACGGAGACUGACGCUGAGACGCGAAAGCGUGGGGAGCAAACAG